AGUGAACGCUGGCGGCAGGCCUAACACAUGCAAGUCGAACGGCAGCACAGGAGAGCUUGCUCUCUGGGUGGCGAGUGGCGGACGGGUGAGGAAUACGUCGGAAUCUGCCUUUUUGUGGGG
RNAcentral lists this ribosomal RNA (120 nucleotides) under uncultured bacterium. RNAcentral describes it as "partial 16S ribosomal RNA". It matches the Rfam family "Bacterial small subunit ribosomal RNA", at positions 29 to 141 of the family's 1533-position model. The record is from RNAcentral.